GACGAACGCUGGCGGCGUGCCUAAUACAUGCAAGUCGAGCGAACAGACCCGGCGCUUGCUCCUCUCACGUUAGCGGCGGACGGGUGAGUAACACGUGGAUCACCUACCUAUCAGACUGGGAUCACCUCGGGACACGGGAGCUAAUCCCGGAUAAGCUAUUGAACCGCAUGGUUCGAUGGUGAAAGACGGCGCUGGGGUCUCUUAUCGCUGGUUCCGCGCGGCAUUAGCUAGUUGGUACGGUAACGGGUUACCAAGGCGAGGAGGCGUAGCCGACCGGUGAGGGUGAUCGGCCGCACGGGAACGGAGACACGGACCAGAGGCCUGCGGGAGGCAGCAGUAGGGAAUGUGCGGCAAUGGUCGAAAGCCUGACGGAGCAACGCCGCGUGAGGGAUGAAGGUCUUCGGAGCGUAAAGCUCUGUUAUUGGGGAAGAACAACUGUGUGAGGAGCUGUGGCCGGCUUGACGGUACCGAAUCAGAAAGCCACGGCUAACUACGUG
Molecule: ribosomal RNA, 497 nt
Filed under: uncultured bacterium
Lineage: Bacteria
Description: partial 16S ribosomal RNA
Rfam family: Bacterial small subunit ribosomal RNA
Source: RNAcentral